AGAGUUUGAUCCUGGCUCAGGAUGAACGCUGGCGGCGUGCCUAAUACAUGCAAGUCGAACGGGGAGUACUUACUUCGGUUUUUACUCCUAGUGGCGAACGGGUGAGUAACGCGUUGGUGACCUGCCCCGAAGCGGGGGAUAACAGUUCGAAAGGACUGCUAAUACCCCAUGUGGUCGUACAGGUUAGAGGCUAUACGACUAAAGGAGCAAUCCACUUCGGGAGGGGCCUGCGUCCCAUCAGCUAGUUGGUAAGGUAACGGCCUACCAAGGCGAUGACGGGUAGGGGACCUGAGAGGGUGGUCCCCCACACUGGCACUGAAACACGGGCCAGACACCUACGGGUGGCAGCAGUAGGGAAUAUUGCACAAUGGGCGAAAGCCUGAUGCAGCAACGCCGCGUGCGCGAAGAAGGCCUUCGGGUUGUAAAGCGCUUUUCUGGAGGAAGAGGAAGGACGGUACUCCAGGAAUAAGGAUCGGCUAACUACGUGCCAGCAGCCGCGGUAACACGUAGGAUCCGAGCGUUAUCCGAAUUUACUGGGCGUAAAGCGCGUGUAGGCGGCCGGGUAAGUUGGACGUGAAAGCUCCUGGCUCAACUAGGAGAGGUCGUUCAAAACUGCCUGGCUAGAGGGCGACAGAGGGAGGUGGAAUUCCCGGUGUAGUAGUGAAAUGCGUAGAUAUCGGGAGGAACACCAGUGGCGAAGGCGGCCUCCUGGGUCGCACCUGACGCUCAGACGCGAAAGCUAGGGGAGCAAACGGGAUUAGAUACCCCGGUAGUCCUAGCUGUAAACGAUGUGGACUUGGCGUUGGUGGGGUCAAAUCCAUCAGUGCCGGGGCUAACGCGAUAAGUCCACCGCCU
RNAcentral lists this ribosomal RNA (855 nucleotides) under uncultured Chloroflexota bacterium. RNAcentral's name for it is "bacterial SSU rRNA". It matches the Rfam family "Bacterial small subunit ribosomal RNA", at positions 9 to 873 of the family's 1533-position model. The record is from RNAcentral. Lineage: Bacteria; Bacillati; Chloroflexota.